GCUGGCGUAGCUCAGGUGGUAGAGCAGCUGAUUUGUAAUCAGCCGGUCGGGGGUUCAAAUCCCUCCGCCAGCU
Molecule: transfer RNA, 73 nt
Filed under: bacterium
Lineage: Bacteria
Also listed under: 1 other name
Description: tRNA-Thr
Rfam family: tRNA
About the family: Transfer RNA (tRNA) molecules are approximately 80 nucleotides in length. Their secondary structure includes four short double-helical elements and three loops (D, anti-codon, and T loops).
Source: RNAcentral